This 1073-nucleotide long non-coding RNA is filed under the name Malus domestica (apple). RNAcentral's name for it is "long non-coding RNA (MDOM_LNC013349)". The record is from RNAcentral. Lineage: Eukaryota; Viridiplantae; Streptophyta; Magnoliopsida; Rosales; Rosaceae.
AAAGUGCUCCUUUUUUUGUCUUUGCAAAACAGAAAAUAAAAAAGUUUAUAAAAAUGAAAUCAAUUAAGUUAAAUAUUAAGUUAUAUCUCCAAUCAUGAUAUGAUCUAGAGUUCUUAAGAUUUUUCAAUGCGAGUACGAGAUUAAGAGUCCAGGCGAAGUGGAAGACGAUAUUAUUUUUACUUAAGGUAAGGUUUUCUUAUUAUUGUUUUUUCUUAUUUGGAAAAGUCCGUUUGAUUUUCUUUUUCUAUGUAGUUUUUAAAUUACUUAUGCAUUUUUAAUUGUAUCUGUUUUGGCCAUAUUCUGUAUUCAAUUUUUAUCAUAUACUCUGCACUGCAUUUUUCAUUACAAUUGCUUAAAGGGUAAACCCCCAUGAUGUGGUAAAGGAGGAUGUUUAGGGAAACAGUGAGUGGAGAUUCCCUGGCAGAGACCAGAGAGAUCCCAAUGAGGUAAUACCUUCACGUUCGGUUCGGUAAGAUAUGUUGUCAGGACUAAGAAGCAACCAAUUAAACAAUCUCAGUUUACUCAAACCAUACAAAGUACAUACUCUCUGCACCCAAACCUGCUAAAAUUUGCCUUAUUUUUUUUUGUUUUUGUAAAUUUUUGAGUGAAUGAAUUAACAAAUUUCUUUUAUUUUUGGGUUUGAAUCCGUGCUGACAUAAUCAAUCAAUGGUAUUCUUUUCUGUUUUCUUUUGUUUUUUUAAUUCAAUAGGAUUUAAUUUUUUAUUGCUUUUGGCUAAUUUGUGUUUUAUACAAUUUCGCUAAUUUUGUUUACUUGUAUCAUUUUUCUCUAGGCUAAUUUUUUACAGGUAUAUUUUUCUAUGUUUUAUGAGCUUUCGGUAAGUUUUCUAUAGAUCACCAUUUGCAAAUUUCUUAAUGACAAAUAUUUUUCCAAAGGUACUUCCUCCCCUUCUCUCCUUGUUUGUUGUUUUUUUGUCACAUAUCUUCAUUUGGUGAUAGGAAUAAAUUUAUAUCCCCUUAUGAAAAUUGAAUCAUACAAUUGUUGCUUCUUUGUUCUUUAACUUGGAAAGUUGUAAUUUUCUUUGGAUCUUCUUCAUAUGUUUGUAAUGUGACAG